AGUCAAUAGAUACCCCGGUAGUCCAUGCCGUAAACGAUGAUUGCUAGGUGUGGGGGGUCUGACCCCUUCCGUGCCGGAGUUAAACACAAAUAAGCAAUCCACCUGGGGAGUACGGCCGCAAGGUUGAAACUCAAAGGAAUUGACGGGGGCCCGCACAAGCAGUGGAGCAUGUGGUUUAAAUUCGAAGCAACGCGAAGAACCUUACCAGGUCUUGACAUCCACCGAAUCCUGUAGAGAUACGGGAGUGCCCUUCGGGGAACGGUGAGACAGGUGGUGCAUGGUUGUCGUCAGCUCGUGUCGUGAGAUGUUGGGUUAAGUCCCGCAACGAGCGCAACCCUUGUGAAUAGUUGCUACGAAAGAGCACUCUAUUCAGACCGCCGUUGACAAAACGGAGGAAGGUGGGGAUGACGUCAAAUCAUCAUGCCCCUUAUGACCUGGGCUACACACGUACUACAAUGGUCGUCAACAGAAGGAAGCAAGACCGCGAGGUGGAGCGAACCCCUAAAAACGAUCUCAGUUCAGAUUGCAGGCUGAAACUCGCCUGC
Molecule: ribosomal RNA, 545 nt
Filed under: uncultured bacterium
Lineage: Bacteria
Description: bacterial SSU rRNA
Rfam family: Bacterial small subunit ribosomal RNA
Source: RNAcentral